Molecule: ribosomal RNA, 274 nt
Filed under: uncultured bacterium
Lineage: Bacteria
Description: partial 16S ribosomal RNA
Rfam family: Bacterial small subunit ribosomal RNA
Source: RNAcentral
ACACGGAGGGUGCAAGCGUUAAUCGGAAUUACUGGGCGUAAAGCGUACGUAGGCGGUCCGUUAAGUUAGAUGUGAAAGCCCCGGGCUUAACCUGGGAACUGCAUUUAAAACUGGCGGACUAGAGUUGAGUAGAGGGGAGUGGAAUUUCAGGUGUAGCGGUGAAAUGCGUAGAGAUCUGAAGGAACACCAGUGGCGAAGGCGACUCCCUGGACUCGAACUGACGCUGAGGCACGAAAGCGUGGGUAGCAAACGGGAUUAGAAACCCCAGUAGUCC